AGAAAAUCAUCUUACUGUUCACUGGUAGAAGUGGAAUUUGCAAAACAUAUUCCUGCUCAGCAACCAACUGUACAACCACGCUGCUCUGGAGUCUCCAUUCCUUUGUAUCUAGUAUUUUGCUUGCAUGUAUGUCUGUGCACAACAUGGAUGUAGUGCCUGCAGAGACCAGAAGAGUGAAUCAGAUCUGGAGUUAUCAACAGUUGUUCCCUGCCAUGUGUGUAAGACCCCCGGCAUCUCAAGCCUCCAGGAUCUCAGCCCAGGACCUCAGUCACCCCAAUCACCAGCAUCCUGCUUAAUUGCACCUUGCCUGAAGCAUACAACCAUUGUCCUGUCCUGUGUAACCACAGAAGUUUUGUAAUCUUGGGGCUUCCAGCCUUACAGUCCCUCCCUUAUAAAAACACCCCUCAGUUGAAAGUGGGUACUACAUUUGUUCCCGAACGAAUGGGAUCCUUGCUGCAGCUCGUAUCCUCCAGUCAAUAAAGAAACCUUUGUCCUUGCA
This is a non-coding RNA of Cricetulus griseus (Chinese hamster), 499 nucleotides long. NCBI's taxonomy places the organism in Eukaryota, Metazoa, Chordata, Mammalia, Rodentia, Cricetidae. The record is from RefSeq and is a predicted model, not a curated record.